RNAcentral lists this ribosomal RNA (279 nucleotides) under uncultured bacterium. Its description in RNAcentral is "partial 16S ribosomal RNA". It matches the Rfam family "Bacterial small subunit ribosomal RNA", at positions 76 to 354 of the family's 1533-position model. The record is from RNAcentral.
CGUUUCUCCGCCGGCGACCGGCGCACGGGUGAGUAACACGUAUGCAACCUGCCCCUGUCAGGGGGACAACCCGCCGAAAGGCGGGCUAAACCCGCGUACAUGCCACCGGGGCAUCCCGGAGGCGAGGAAAAGGCUUCGGCCGGACAGGGAUGGGCAUGCGGCGCAUUAGGCAGUAGGCGGGGUAGCGGCCCACCUAACCGACGAUGCGUAGGGGUUCUGAGAGGAAGGUCCCCCACACUGGUACUGAGACACGGACCAGACUCCUACGGAAGGCAGCAG